GUAGGUGUUAGCCUUCUGUAUUAUUGAAAAUGGUCGUUCAUGGCUAUUUUCGACAAAAAUGGGGGUUGUGUGGCCAUUGAUCAUCGACCAGACGCUCAUACACCUCACCCCACAUAUGUUUCCUUGUCGUAGAUCACAUUCUUGGAUUUCUGGUGGAGACCAUUUCUUGGUCAAAAAUCCGUAGGUCUUAGCCUCUAAUAUUAUUGAAAAUGGUCGCUCAUGGCUAUUUUCAUAAAAAAUGGGGGUUGUGUGGCCAUUUAUCAUCGACUAGAGGCUCAUAAAUCUCACCCCACAUAUGUUUCCUUGCCAUAGAUCACAUUCUUGGAUUUCUGGUGGAGACCAUUUCUUGGUCAAAAAUCCGUAGGUGUUAGCCUUCGGUAUUAUUGUAAAUGGUCAUUCAUGGCUAUUUUCGGCAAAAUGGACCAUUUCUUGGUCAAAAAUCCGUAGGUGUUAGCCUUCGGUAUUAUUGAAAAUGGUCGUUCAUGGCUAUUUUGACAAAAAUGGGGGUUGUGUGGCCAUUGAUCAUCGACUAGAGGCUCAUACACCUCACCCCACAUAUGUUUCCUUGCCAUAGAUCACAUUCUUGGAUUUCUGGUGGAGACCAUUUCUUGGUCAAAAAUCCGUAGGUGUUAGCCUUCGGUAUUAUUGUAAAUGGUCAUUCAUGGCUAUUUUCGGCAAAAUGGGGGUUCUGUGGCCAUUGAUCAUCGACCAGAGGCUCGUACACCUCACCCCACAUAUGUUUCCUUGCCAUAGAUCACAUUCUUGGAUUUCUGGUGGAGACCAUUUCUUGGUCAAAAAUCCGUAGGUGUUAGCCUUUGGUAUUUUUGAAAAUGGUCGUUCAUGGCUAUUUUCGGCAAAAUGGGGGUUGUGCGGCCAUUGAUCGUCGACUAGAGGCUCAUACACCUCACCCCACAUAUGUUUCCUUGCCAUAGAUCACAUUCUUGGAUUUAUGGUGGAGACCAUUUCUUGGUCAAAAAUUUGUAGGUGUUAGCCUUCAGUGUCAUUGAAAAUGGUCGUUCAUGGCUAUUUUCGACAAAAAUUAGGGUUGUGUGGCCAUUGAUCGUCGACCAGAGGCUCAUACACCUCACCCCACAUAUGUUUCCUUGCCAUAGAUCACAUUCUUGGAUUUCUGGUGGAGACCAUUUCUUGGUCAAAAAUCCGUAGGUGUUAGCCUUCGGUAUUAUUGAAAAUGGUCGUUCAUGGCUAUUUUCGACAAAAAUGGGGGUUGUGUGGCCAUUGAUCAUCGACCAGAGGCUCAUACACCUCACCCCACAUAUGUUUCCUUGCCAUAGAUCACAUUCUUGGAUUUCUGGUGGAGACCAUUUCUUGGUCAAAAAUUCGUAGGUCUUAGCCUUCGGUAUUAUUGAAAAUGGUCAUUCAUGGCUAUUUUCGGCAAAAUGGGGGUUGUGUGGCCAUUGAUCAUCGACCAUAGGCUCAUACACCUCACCCCACAUAUGUUUCCUUGCCAUAGAUCACAUUCUUGGAUUUCUGGUGGAGACCAUUUCUUGGUCAAAAAUCCGUAGGUGUUAGCCUUCGGUAUUAUUGUAAAUGGUCAUUCAUGGCUAUUUUCGACAAAAAUGGGGGUUGUGUGGCCAUUAAUCAUCGACCAGAGGCUCAUAAAAAAUGGGGGUUGUGUGGCCAUUUAUCAUCGACUAGAGGCUCAUAAACCUCACCCCACAUAUGUUUCCUUGCCAUAGAUCACAUUCUUGGAUUUCUGGUGGAGACCAUUUCUUGGACAAAAAUCCGUAGGUCUUAGCCUCUAGUAUUAUUGAAAAUGGUCGCUGUUAGCCUUCGGUAUUAUUGAAAAUGGUCAUUCAUGGCUAUUUUCGACAAAAAUGGGGGUUGUGUGGCCAUUGAUCAUCGACUAGAGGCUCAUACACCUCACUACACAUAUGUUUCCUUGCCAUAGAUCACAUUCUUGGAUUUCUGGUGGAGACCAUUUCUUGGUCUAAAAUCCGUAGGUGUUAGCCUCUAGUAUUAUUGAAAAUGGUCGCUCAUGGCUAUUUUCAAGGUCGCUCAUGGCUAUUUUCAUAAAAAAUGGGGGUUGUGUGGCCAUUUAUCAUCGACUAGAGGCUCAUAAACCUCACCCCACAUAUGUUUCCUUGCCAUAGAUUACAUUCUUGGAUUUCUGGUGGAAACCAUUUCUUGGUUAAAAACUCGUACGUGUUAGCCUUCGGUAUUAUUGAAAAUGGUCGUUCAUGGCUAUUUUCAAGGUCGCUCAUGGCUAUUUUCAAGGUCGCUCAUGGCUAUUUUCAUAAAAAAUGGGGGUUGUGUGGCCAUUGAUCGUCGACCAGAGGCUCAUACACCUCACCCCACAUAUGUUUCCUUGCCAUAGAUCACAUUCUUGGAUUUCUGGUGGAGACCAUUUCUUGGUCAAAAAUCCGAAUGUGUUAGCCUCCGGUAUUUUUGAAAAUGGUCAUUCAUGGCUAUUUUCGACAAAAAUGGGGGUUGUGUGGCCAUUGAUCAUCGACCAGACGCUCAUACACCUCACCCCACAUAUGUUUCCUUGCCAUAGAUCACAUUCUUGGAUUUAUGGUGGAGACCAUUUCUUGGUCAAAAAUCCGUAG
Molecule: long non-coding RNA, 2567 nt
Filed under: Zea mays
Lineage: Eukaryota; Viridiplantae; Streptophyta; Magnoliopsida; Poales; Poaceae
Description: long non-coding RNA (ZMAY_LNC005839)
Source: RNAcentral